Molecule: ribosomal RNA, 420 nt
Filed under: uncultured bacterium
Lineage: Bacteria
Description: bacterial SSU rRNA
Rfam family: Bacterial small subunit ribosomal RNA
Source: RNAcentral
AGGGAAUAUUGGACAAUGGGCGCAAGCCUGAUCCAGCCAUCCCGCGUGAAGGAUGAAGGUCCUCUGGAUUGUAAACUUCUUUUCUUCGGGAAUAAAAACUGGGGUUCUCCUCAGCUUGAAGGUACCGAAGGAAUAAGCACCGGCUAACUCCGUGCCAGCAGCCGCGGUAAUACGGAGGGUGCAAGCGUUAUCCGGAUUCACUGGGUUUAAAGGGUGCGUAGGUGGCUUUGUAAGUCAGUGGUGAAAGCUCGGAGCUCAACUCCGAAACUGCCAUUGAUACUGCUUAGCUUGAAUCAGGUCGAGGUGGAUGGAAUGUGACAUGUAGCGGUGAAAUGCUUAGAUAUGUUACAGAACACCGAUUGCGAAGGCAGUUCACCAGCCCUGUAUUGACACUGAGGCACGAAAGCGUGGGGAUCAAAC